UUAGUGAAUCUGUUACAGGAGAUCGAUGGAUUGGAAAAUUCAAUUUUGUUGAGACACGUUCAUAUUGGCAUAUAUUUAUAAGAAAUGACAGAAUGCGGAGCUUUUUUAUAUUGUACCUUUAGGUAAACAUCAAUUGUUAUUCGUCCUUAUAUUUUAAUUAUCUUAUUCUCUAACGUAGCAUAUCAUCUCGGUUUCAAUUUAUUUUAUUCUGAAGGCAGUUGCUUGGAAUUGAUCUGGUGAUUUAAGAGGUACAAUUGAUGGAAAUGUAUUCCAUGAACUAUCAAGCAUUUUCAUCAUAGUAGCCGCACUAAAAUUCGUACAAGUUCUCGAUAUUGUCAUGAGCUGGAAAGCAAGAAAGAGCAUAUUCGAUCUAAUAAGGACAAGAAGACAACAUAAUUUUUUCCGAUGUGGAACGAAAUAACUCUGAGUUUCAGACAAGAGAACUAUACAAGCAGAUCUUUCAAAAUCGUUGAUGUGAGUCAUAGUUACCACCUUAAUUAAUCUUUUGGAUAUGUGUUUUAUAUUUCAAUUCUACUAAAGACUGAUGGAUACUACGUACCUU
This is a non-coding RNA of Erythranthe guttata (spotted monkey flower), 562 nucleotides long. Lineage: Eukaryota; Viridiplantae; Streptophyta; Magnoliopsida; Lamiales; Phrymaceae. The record is from RefSeq and is a predicted model, not a curated record.